Molecule: ribosomal RNA, 468 nt
Filed under: uncultured bacterium
Lineage: Bacteria
Description: partial 16S ribosomal RNA
Rfam family: Bacterial small subunit ribosomal RNA
Source: RNAcentral
GACGAACGCUGGCGGCGUGCUUAACACAUGCAAGUCGAACGGAAAGGCCCUGCUUUUGUUGGUUUCUCGAGUGGCGAACGGGUGAGUAACACGUGAGUAACCUGCCCUUGACUUUGGGAUAACUUCAGGAAACUGGGGCUCAUACCGGAUAUGAUCUCCUGCUGCAUGGUGUGGGUUGGAAAGUUUCGGCGGUUGGGGAUGGACUCGCGGCUUAUCAGCUUGUUUGUGUGGUAGUUGCUUACCAAGGGUUUGACGGGUAGCCGGCCUGAGAGGGUGACCGGCGACAUUGGGACUGAGAGACGGCCCAGACGCCAACGGGAGGCAGCAGGGGGGAAUAUGGCACAAUGGGCGGAAGCCUGAUGCAGCAACGCCGCGUGCGGGAUGACGGCCUUCGGGUUGUAAACCGAUUUCGCCUGUGACGAAGAGUGAGUGACGGUAAUGGGUAAAGAAGCACCGGCUAACUACGUG